GACCACCUAUCUAUGCAUACUCAAUCUAGGUUUUCAGAUCAGUCAAUAUAUCUACCCGGAUUCUCUCAUAUCAGAUCAAUCCAUUUCUUCGUCACCUAUAUCUUAAACGGCGGAGUUACUAACUUGUGUUGUUGUACAAAGUUGUUGGAAAUACAUAUUUCAUAAAUAAUGAAAUAUGUAUAAUUUUUGUGCUGGACUAGGUCCAGUGCGUAGUGGAGAUCUUUGUAACGGGAUAUCACUGUGUGGAGAUAUGUGUGUGCGCGGCGACUGAGAAACAGACGAAUGUAAACAGUUCUAUCAGUUAACAGUCUUCAAAAGGUCGGGUAUGAAUAAAAGUGCUGAGACGCGCGCAAGUGUACAGCGAUAAAUAUUCUAGAAAUCGUUUAUAAAGUAAAUAUGUGUCUACGUUAAUAGUAAUGGCCAGCGUAAAUUUAAUGUUUCCAUAACAAUAUUUCGGCCAUCAGGAUUCACAAUUCUCAACAUAGUAGCAAAAAUCGUGGUUGACGAGAUUUAAGGUUAUGG
This 522-nucleotide unclassified non-coding RNA is filed under the name Bombus terrestris (buff-tailed bumblebee). RNAcentral's name for it is "misc RNA ENSBTSG00005030234.1". The record is from RNAcentral. Lineage: Eukaryota; Metazoa; Arthropoda; Insecta; Hymenoptera; Apidae.